AGCUGGGAACAUAGAUGGCUGUGUUUUCACAGACCUUCCUUCCCUUGAUUAAUUUUUGGGAUAGACUCUUUCAGAGCAGGUUAUUUAAGGAUUUAGAGCUUGUUCCAAGGCCCAUUGAAGCCAAUGGAAAUCUCUCUAUUGUCACUGAUAGGCUCGGGACCAGGCCACUAGCCCUGAGUGCUUAGGAUAGAGACAUUUAAGGUGCAAGUGAUGAAAGACCUGAUGUUGAGCAGAAAUCCAUUAACACCUCCAAGAAACAAGGCCGAGGGCCUUUAAGUACCAAAUCAGGGACAGAUUUUGAAAGGCCACUAAACAUGAGGAUGAUAUCUGUGGGAGUUGGCAUGGAAGGGACAGUAAUAACUUUUGAAGAGCUACUUCCCCCACAGCAUCCUACCAGCCAGUCCCAGCCCAACCAGUGCCUGUGUCUGGGAGACAAUUUAGUUACUUCCACACUUUCCUGGAAAGAUUUUGCCUGGCACACUCCUGUCUCAGCAGGAAAGGGAUUGCUCCAGGCUAGUUUUGAUAGAAGAAUUUGUUCCUCAAAAGAAGCAAGGAUUUUCCACCAGUACUUCAAGGACCAUCAGCUGAUGCAAACAGAUUCACUGGUGCUCAGUGGAUCUGAAGGGGUCAAAUAGGUGCUGCUGCCAUCUUUAAGGAAAUUUCAGCAUCUGUGCUUCCUGCUGCCCAGUGGGAACUGUGAAUUGGGCAGUGAACCCUAUAGAAAUGGGUUCACAGGAGGCUGGUCCUCCUCCUGGGGUUGUAUAUUUAUGGUCAAGUACAUGGCCGGAUGAGAUAUUAUGACAUCAUGGGUUUUGCCAAGCCCUUCUCAGCUUUGCUAGUCCAGGUAACAGGACUUUCCCUCAGUGGGAGCAGAGAAUAACUUUGGUACAAGCUGCCCUGCUGAAGAGGUACAGAGGUUAAUCUAUGAAAUUGGAAGAGAAGGUUUUAGUCUCUUCCCACUCAGAAAUCAUUCAUGUAAUUGUACCUCACACCUAGACUAACACCCUACCUCACCUUAGCUGUAACUGAAAAAAAAAAAAAAAAAAAAGCAGUAUCAGCAUGCUAGAGGCACGACUAUAUCAAAAGUUUAGAGUGAAGUACAGGCAUUUUGCCUUUGGGCACCCAAACUGAGGCAUCUAAAGUGACUGGUAUCCGGUCAGUUGGUACUCAGAAGUUUCUAAAAAUCAGCACGUGGAAAUACCGAAGAAAAGAUCACAAAUUUAAGAACCUUUCUGUCUAAAACCCGUUCUCACUGGGUAAUUUUGGAACAACUUCCACACCCCCACUCCAAAAUGCUUUUAGGAGAUUGAAAUAACCAUGGAAACACUUUGCAUUUGAGGUCAGAGACAAAACUGCUCCAAAACUGACACCUUACCUACCAUGUUCCCAGUCUGGUGGAAAUACUGCAUCUGAAAUUGAAAGGUUUAUGUUGAAAAUGUUGACACAGCCCUAAAUUGGAGUGAUGUGGGUGUCAGGGAGGAGCAUGGGGGUGAGGGCUUUUUGAAUCAGUCCUUCUUUUAAUCCUUGGAAAGGGCCUGUAGAAAAGAUUCAUUUUCUAUAUCGAGUUUCAUUCAUUGAAAGGAUUCCAAAGAUAAAACUCAUAAACUGUGCAAACACAGAUACAAUGUGGGUGAAAGGGUUAAGGGACUGAAGAAGACUCAGUAAUUCUCACAAAUGGGGACCAGAUGUUGUUUGACAUUUUAAAAACAUGCAGUCUCCUCUACCCCUACUUACCUUUCUGAUACUGUGAAUUGUUCAGUUGAGAUCAAUGAGGAAUUACUGAACACGUAGUUUAUUUUCCAUGGUGUCUUCUGUUUGUUUCAAAAAACACAUGGGGAAAAGAAUAAGGAUGCAUUAAUAAUAGCAAGAGCCACUCUCAGCUGGCAUAAAUUGGCAUGGUUCCACCAAAGUCAAUAGGAGAGCUCUGAUUUACAGCAGAUGGGCUUUUGUCCAUCAGUGCGAUAUCCUAUACCAAGCGAUAUGACAAGAGCUGUUUACAGACUAUGUCAUGUUGUUCAAUAUUAUGGCUGAGAAGGGCUGUGCCAGGUCAAAUGCUGUGGUGGAAAGUACGCCAAUACAGAACCACAGCUGUAUACACAGGAGUUUUAAAAUCCCAGGAGAAAAGAGUUGCACAUCUAAGAAUGAGAAUAAAGGUGCCAAUAGUAUUGGUCA
RNAcentral lists this long non-coding RNA (2172 nucleotides) under Anas platyrhynchos platyrhynchos (common mallard). Its description in RNAcentral is "lncRNA (ENSAPLG00000016616.1)". Lineage: Eukaryota; Metazoa; Chordata; Aves; Anseriformes; Anatidae. The record is from RNAcentral.